CCUACGGGAGGCAGCAGUGGGGGAUAUUGCACAAUGGGGGGAACCCUGAUGCCGCGACGCCGCGUGGGUGAAGGAGUGCUUCGGCAUGUAAAGCCCUAUCGGCAGGGAAGAAGCAAGACGGUACCUGACUAAGAAGCCCCGGCUAAAUACGUGCCAGCAGCCGCGGUAAUACGUAGGGGGCGAGCGUUAUCCGGAUUCACUGGGGGUAACGGGCGCGUAGACGGCAAUGCAAGCCAGGGUCGACAGCCCGUGGCUCAACCCCGGGACUGCCCGUGGGACUGCAUGGCUUGAGUGCGGGAGGGGCAGGCGGAAUUCCUGGUGGAGCGGUGAAAUGCGGAGAUAUCAGGAGGAACACCGGCGGCGAAGGCGGCCUGCUGGACCGCGACUGACGUUGAGGCUCGAAAGCGUGGGGAGCGAACAGGAUUAGAUACCCCAGUAGUC
This 441-nucleotide ribosomal RNA is filed under the name uncultured bacterium. RNAcentral describes it as "partial 16S ribosomal RNA". It matches the Rfam family "Bacterial small subunit ribosomal RNA", at positions 338 to 795 of the family's 1533-position model. The record is from RNAcentral.